Molecule: ribosomal RNA, 549 nt
Filed under: uncultured bacterium
Lineage: Bacteria
Description: partial 16S ribosomal RNA
Rfam family: Bacterial small subunit ribosomal RNA
Source: RNAcentral
UGGGGAAUUUUGGACAAUGGGCGCAAGCCUGAUCCAGCCAUGCCGCGUGCGGGAAGAAGGCCUUCGGGUUGUAAACCGCUUUUGUCAGGGAAGAAAUCUUCUGAGUUAAUACCUCGGGAGGAUGACGGUACCUGAAGAAUAAGCACCGGCUAACUACGUGCCAGCAGCCGCGGUAAUACGUAGGGUGCAAGCGUUAAUCGGAAUUACUGGGCGUAAAGCGUGCGCAGGCGGUUUUGUAAGACAGAGGUGAAAUCCCCGGGCUCAACCUGGGAACUGCCUUUGUGACUGCAAGGCUUGAGUGCGGCAGAGGGGGAUGGAAUUCCGCGUGUAGCAGUGAAAUGCGUAGAUAUGCGGAGGAAACACCGAUGGCGAAGGCAAUCCCCUGGGCCUGCAACUGACGCUCAUGCACGAAAAGCGUGGGGAGCAAAACAGGAUUAGAUACCCCUGGUAGUCCACGCCCUAAAACGAUGUCAAACUGGUUGUUGGGAAGGUUCCUUCUCAGUAACGUAGCUAACGCGUGAAAGUUGACCGCCUGGGGAGUACGGCCGC